CGUAGGGUGCGAGCGUUAAUCGGAAUUACUGGGCGUAAAGCGUGCGCAGGCGGUUUAGUAAGACAGGCGUGAAAUGCCCGGGCUUAACCUGGGAACUGCAUUUGUGACUGCACGGCUAGAGUUUGGCAGAGGGGGUAGAAUUCCACGUGUAGCAGUGAAAUGCGUAGAUAUGUGGAGGAAUACCGAUGGCGAAGGCAGCCCCCUGGGUCAAGACUGACGCUCAUGCACGAAAGCGUGGGGAGCAAACAGGAUUAGAUACCCUGGUAGUCCACGCCCUAAACGAUGUCUACUAGUUGUCGGGUCUUAAUUGACUUGGUAACGCAGCUAACGCGUGAAGUAGACCGCCUGGGGAGUACGGUCGCAAGAUUA
This 369-nucleotide ribosomal RNA is filed under the name uncultured organism. RNAcentral describes it as "bacterial SSU rRNA". It matches the Rfam family "Bacterial small subunit ribosomal RNA", at positions 526 to 896 of the family's 1533-position model. The record is from RNAcentral.